This is a long non-coding RNA of Drosophila ananassae, 318 nucleotides long. RefSeq lists it as uncharacterized. The record is from RefSeq and is a predicted model, not a curated record. The transcript is spliced from 2 exons. Lineage: Eukaryota; Metazoa; Arthropoda; Insecta; Diptera; Drosophilidae.
AAUUUUAAAUACAAAUAUUUUUUCAACUUCAAAAAUUCUUCUUCCUGAAGGACCUUUUAAAAACCAGACUACUCCUCACUCAUUCACCGACGACGUUCAGUUCAGUUCAGCCUGCUUCGGUUCUGCCCAGGACAUGGACAUCCUUUUGGGUGGGAGCUGGAUCAUGGGACGUGUGCUGGGCGAGGGUAGGCCACCACCCACUUUUGCCUGGUGCUACUGCCUAUUGCUGCUGUCGUCGCUGUUUGUUCGCGCAACCAAAUUUAGACGUAAUUAAAUGUGAAUUGUUUAUUUAAGGCGCACGCUCGUCUACCACCCGCA